Long non-coding RNA from Bactrocera tryoni, 907 nucleotides. RefSeq lists it as uncharacterized. The transcript is spliced from 2 exons. NCBI's taxonomy places the organism in Eukaryota, Metazoa, Arthropoda, Insecta, Diptera, Tephritidae. The record is from RefSeq and is a predicted model, not a curated record.
UUUAAACAUACUGUUACUUAAUUAAAAAUAUUUACAAUACACUUCCGUUAUUUCAACUUGUGCGCGCCCACAACAAGUGUGUUUCAAAAAUGCGUCGCCGGCCACCUGUGCGUAUGAGCAUUCUCCGCAAGUGAAGCAAGCGAAGUAAAGUGUCAGUGCCAAAAACAUAGCAGCCACUAAUGCCUAAAAGUGUUAAAUAAAUUAGUGUAUACAAUUAAAUACUUUACAUUGCACGAAAAAAAAAAAAAAUUUUGGAAUUGAAAAAAAAUAACAAAAACAACCGCGCAUAGCCACAGUCAGUGUCAAGGUUGCCUGGCAGCCGCGCGGGCGUUUGCACCGACGGGCGUUGCUGUCAGUGAGACACUUAACAGCACAACGCAAGCGGCCACUGUCGCGUACUCAAUUGCUGCUAAUUAAUCACAGCUGCUGAAUGGUUAGUGGCGCAUAAAAUGAAUUAACAGAUCAAUUAAAAUGCAUCACGAGCCAGCAGCGCGCUCUUAGUAGUAAAUCUCCCAAAAAACCUGAUUCGUACAAUAUGGCUUCGAUGCACAAUGGCAAUCAACGAAUGUCAAUAAAAGUAAAAAAUAGAAAAAAGUGUAAAACUAUCCAACAAGAGAUUUCACAUUCCUCACGAAUGAGAAAAUGCGAACAAAAGCAAUUGCAAAAACUGCAAAUAGCAAGAGAUAUGAGAUAUGAGCUGAAGCAGAGCUUCAACAUUUUAUACGUAAGUGUUAAACCGACAACAAAAAAUUCUGAAGAAACAACAAUAACAACAACUAGAUGUCACACUAAGACAGUGCAGACGGCAUUUUACGAGCUAUGAAAGACAUGUCAAAGCGUUAAUGUAAGAGAAAUCACAACCAGCGAAGUAAAAAAAAGUAAAUACAAACAAAUUACAAAAGAAAUA